UACGUAGGUGGCAAGCGUUAUCCGGAUUUAUUGGGCGUAAAGAGAACGCAGGCGGUCUUUUAAGUCUGAUGUGAAAGCCUUCGGCUUAACCGGAGUAGUGCAUUGGAAACUGGGAGACUUGAGUGCAGAAGAGGAGAGUGGAACCCCAUGUGUAGCGGUGAAAUGCGUAGAUAUAUGGAAGAACACCAGUGGCGAAAGCGGCUCUCUGGUCUGUAACUGACGCUGAGGUUCGAAAGCGUGGGUAGCAAACAGG
Molecule: ribosomal RNA, 253 nt
Filed under: uncultured bacterium
Lineage: Bacteria
Description: partial 16S ribosomal RNA
Rfam family: Bacterial small subunit ribosomal RNA
Source: RNAcentral